GCAUGUCUAAGUAUAAGCAAUUUAUACAGUGAAACUGCGAAUGGCUCAUUAAAUCAGUUAUCGUUUAUUUGAUAGUACCUUACUACUUGGAUAACCGUGGUAAUUCUAGAGCUAAUACAUGCUUAAAAUCCCGACUGUUUGGAAGGGAUGUAUUUAUUAGAUAAAAAAUCAAUGUCUUCGGACUCUUUGAUGAUUCAUAAUAACUUUUCGAAUCGCAUGGCCUUGUGCUGGCGAUGGUUCAUUCAAAUUUCUGCCCUAUCAACUUUCGAUGGUAGGAUAGUGGCCUACCAUGGUUUCAACGGGUAACGGGGAAUAAGGGUUCGAUUCCGGAGAGGGAGCCUGAGAAACGGCUACCACAUCCAAGGAAGGCAGCAGGCGCGCAAAUUACCCAAUCCCGACACGGGGAGGUAGUGACAAUAAAUAACGAUACAGGGCCCUUUCGGGUCUUGUAAUUGGAAUGAGUACAAUGUAAAUACCUUAACGAGGAACAAUUGGAGGGCAAGUCUGGUGCCAGCAGCCGCGGUAAUUCCAGCUCCAAAAGCGUAUAUUAAAGUUGUUGCAGUUAAAAAGCUCGUAGUUGAACCUUGGGCUUGGUUGGCCGGUCCAUCUUUCUGAUGCGUACUGGACCCAACCGAGCCUUUCCUUCUGGCUAGCCUUUUGGCGAACCAGGACUUUUACUUUGAAAAAAUUAGAGUGUUCAAAGCAGGCCUUUGCUCGAA
RNAcentral lists this ribosomal RNA (719 nucleotides) under Candida tropicalis. Its description in RNAcentral is "SSU rRNA". It matches the Rfam family "Eukaryotic small subunit ribosomal RNA", at positions 53 to 799 of the family's 1831-position model. The record is from RNAcentral. Lineage: Eukaryota; Fungi; Ascomycota; Pichiomycetes; Serinales; Debaryomycetaceae.